Long non-coding RNA from Phragmites australis (common reed), 1154 nucleotides. RefSeq lists it as uncharacterized. Lineage: Eukaryota; Viridiplantae; Streptophyta; Magnoliopsida; Poales; Poaceae. The record is from RefSeq and is a predicted model, not a curated record. The transcript has 2 exons.
GUAAAAUCCGGGGGAGUGCGCCUUCCGAUGCUGCGCUCACCCCGCGCCCGGUUCUGCCCCUGUCGUGUUACCCUUGCUGCUCCUACGCCGCAGGGGUAGCCCGGUCAUUUGCGCCGCCUCUCGUGUUGGCGCAGAUCUAGGCAGGGGAAAGGCAAUUCGUGUGGACUGGACACUUCAAAGAAAGCGCAGCUCCCGCCGAAGAAAGGGAGGUGGUGGGUGGGUGGGAGAAGAGAACAAAAACUGAAAUAGAGAGAGAAAGAGGAAGCUCUGGGGAGAGAGAAAGAGAGAGAGAGAGGAGGCCUUUGCAGUUGCAGGGGAAGGAGGCGAGGUAGAAGAAAAGUAGGAGGGCGAAGGAGGAGGAGCAUGGAGGAGAUAGUAAAGGGAGGAGGUGAGCCAUUGGAGGUGGAGGAGGAGGGGAGGGCUGCCAGGCCGGCCAAAAGGAGAUUUGGCGCUGUGGGCCCACCCCCCAGCUGAGGAGCAAGAGACGAGGGAGGAGGAAGAGUAUCUGCUCUCACGUCGGAGGAGGGGGAAAGCAUAAAGGGAGGGGCAAGGGAGAGAGAGCUUCCAGGCCGCACAUCCCAGCCAAAGCGAGAAAAUAAAAGCUUCAGAAAGAAGGCUUCAGAGUGAGAGCAAGGGAUCCAGUGAAUGAGGUAUAUGGCUGGGAGCAUCUGGUGCUCUUGCCACCACCUUGCAUAGUGGCAUUGUCUCCUUGUCCCUUUCUCUUGUUCUCCCACCAUUGUAGGUGUGUUGUUAGUUUGGAGGUCAGUAGCUAGGUGCUAGCUCGCCUGCUCCUGUGGCCAAGUGGUGAUGGCAUUGCAAGAGCAGGAAGAGGAGGACGGCGAUGAUGGCGAGGAAGAAGAUGGUGAAGAGGGGAUGAUGAGGGUGCGGGGGAGCUGAUUUCUCCUUGUCCCGAGGUGUGCUGUCCACUUGUGGAGUAGUAAGAUAUUGGCACAAUAGGCUCAAUCACUUUUCCCUUUUUUUCCUCUUGGUUUGAUGUGCUUGCUUUUUCUUCUUCUAAUUCGUCAUUGCACACUCGUUCUCGUGUAAUUUUAUUUCCCUUUGCUGUUCUUGGUGCUUUGCCCGGUUUGGAAUGGAAACGAUUGACAAAAAAUAAAAUAAAAAAGGGAACUGAAAAUAAGCUGGGUGUUUUCUCA